RNAcentral lists this ribosomal RNA (3357 nucleotides) under Candidatus Aenigmatarchaeota archaeon. RNAcentral describes it as "23S ribosomal RNA". It matches the Rfam family "Archaeal large subunit ribosomal RNA". Lineage: Archaea; Nanobdellati; Candidatus Aenigmatarchaeota. The record is from RNAcentral.
UAAUAACAGCCGCUUGGUGGAUGGCUUGGCUUCGUUAGCCGAAGAAGGACGCGGCAAGCCGCGAUAGUCUCGGGUUAGGCGCAUGCAGCCUACGACCCCGAGGUGUCCGAAUGAGGAUCUUCUACUUCGGUAGGUACCGAGAGGUACGGGAACGCGGGGAAGUGAAGCAUCUUACUACCCGCAGGAAAAGAGACAAAUUUGCAUGCCAUUAGUAACGGCGAGUGAAAGUGGCGCAGGGCAAACCGAACAGUCGCAGUAAUGCGAUAUGGAUGUGGAGUUGAAGGACUAGGGUCUAUCCCAGUCUCGCGACUCGAAGACGCCUGGAAAGGCGCGCGUUAAAGCGUGAUAGCCGCGUAGAGGAAGUGAGAAAGGAUAAUGCCUAGUAUCCUGAGUAACGUUCCCUAGAUACGGAGCGUGAAUCUGGCAGAAUUAAGUGCCAACCCUAAAUACUAACGAAGUCCGAUAGUGCAAUAGUACGGUGACGGAAAGCUGAAAAGAACGGCGUGAGCCGGGUUAAAAGAACCUGAAACCAAGUCGGUAUAAGUCAGCUAAGGCACGGAAGGUGCGACCCGAAGGAAACAGUCGAGAGGCUGCAGUACGAGGUGUCGCUUACAGUGUUUUAGCGUCCGUUUUGAAAAACGGGGCAAGGAGUGUAUAUCAGCGGCGAGGUUAACUCGUUUAAGCGAGGUAGCCGUAGCGAAAGCGACAAGCGCGUAAUGUUGAAUGUGGCGCGGCGUCUGAAAGGGCGUGAAGUCGCUGGUUUACGACCUGAAGCGUGUCGAUCUAAUCCUGAACAGGCUGAAGCCGUACGAAAGUAUGGUGGAGGGCCGAAGCGUUGUUGAACUGCCAAUCACUCGUGUGAUUUGGGAUUAGGGGUGAAAAGCCUAACGAGACACGAGAUAGCUGGUUCCUCCCGAAAUGCAUGUCAGUGCAGUCUAGACCGAGGCCGGUAUCAGGGUAGAGUUACUGAUUGUGAAGUCAAGGACCGAAAGGUUCAGCUUUGCUGCCAAACUCCGAACCUGGUACCGCCGUAGAAGUCUGGAAUGAGCUUACCGGGUUAAACUCGGUUGGCGAAAGGGAAAUAACCCCAACUAUGGUUAAGGUCCCAAAAUGUUGGCUAAACGUAGAAGGAAAUGUGCAUCCUCAGACAGCAGGACUGUAGGCUCAGAAGCAGCCAUCAGUUAAAAAGUGCGUAAUAGCUUACCUGCCGAGGAUGUGCGUUCUGAAGAUGGAAGGGACUAAGUCAACUACCGAUACCAUAGACCCUGAUAAGGGGUAGUAGGGAGGCGUACCGUACGGGCAGAAGCCUCUGCGUAAGCAGUGGUGGACCGUUCGGUAAUGCAGAUCUUGCCAUGAGUAGCAACGUAGUGGAGUGAGAAUCUCCACCGCCUUAAGUCUAAGGGUUUGCCAGCAAUGUUCGUCAGCUGGCGGUAAGUCGGUCCUAAACUAAACCUUAACCGGAUUUAGUGAUAGGGAAAUCGGUUAAUAUUCCGAUACCAUAUGGGUACGUGCGGCAACGCAAGGGUUGCUCGCGACGCAUCUGGACACGUGGACGUAAGUUAAGUGUUGAAGUCCCUGGAGUCUUGUAACGAGGAGAAGGGGAGGAAUGCACGAACAGCCCCGCGUAUGCGGAGUUCUGCGAAUUCCAGGUGCCCGUGAAAAGUGGGCAAUCAAGGAUCCUAUAUGUCCGUACCGAGAACCGUAACAGGUAGACUGGUUGAAAAGACCAUGGUGUGUUGGGAAAACCCUGCCUAGGGAAAUCAGCAAGUUAGCUCCGUAUCCUUGGUAUAAGGAGUGCCUGUUUCCUCGCAAGGGGAAGCAGGUCGCAGUGACAAGGGGAAGGUGACUGUUUAACAAAAACGAUGGAGAUUGCCAAUGCGCAAGCACAAGUACAAUCUCUUAAGCCUGCCCAGUGCCGGUAGGUCAAAGUCGGUUCCAACCGAUCGAAGCCCCGGUAAACGGCGGCGGUAAGGUCAGGAAGUGAGGGAGGCGAGUACGCAAGUAUUGCUUUCACAGUUCCAACGAACUACUUCUGGGAGGCGUUAAACAGGUUAGCCAAGGAGCAUCAUUCAGUAGGGUGGAUUACGAGUUGGAGAAAGAAAUCGAGAGAUUUUUCAAGCGAUUCAAAGUCGUUAUGGAAAGUUUCCCUCAUUUCGGACCCCGCAAACUCUGACCGUCGUAAAGUAGCGUAAUCCCUUGCCGUUUAAAUGACGGCCCGUCUGAAUGGCUCAACAAUCUUCCCGCUGUCCUGGGCGGGUACCCAGUGAAAUUGCCAUUCUGGUGAAUAAGCCAGAGACCUCUAGUGGGAUACGAAGACCCCGUAGAGCUUUACUGCAGUCUGUCGUUGUGGUAAAGUUUCCGCUUCAUAGAGUAGGUGGGACCCGUUAUGCCCAAGAUUUAGGUCUUGGGAUAGGGGAAAGUGUAACACCAUCAUUCGGGAACUUUACUGCUCACCCCAAAAGGGGACACCGUCAGAUGGGCAGUUCGGCUGGGGCGGCACGCCCUUGAAAAGGUAUCAAGGGCUCCCAAAGCUCAGCUCAUCCGGGGCAUGAUGCAAGUCGCAUUUUGCCUCGAAGAGCAUGAGGACUAAAAAACCUAACAGCUUUAGAGGCAUUGCCCACGUAAAAGAAACUGAAAUGACACAGUGACUAGAUCGCUCCAGUCUGACUUUCGAAAGGAUGAAGACAGAGGUAGCUGAUGAGUGUACAAGAGAAUUUUCGUGGACGCUUUGCGAUGUUUAAUAACGAUUUGCAUCACCCGACAGAAAUCCGGAGUAGAGUGCAAACGCAAAAGCUGGGCUGACUGGAUUCUAAAAAGUACGGAAUCCAGCUGCGAAAGCAUGGGUUAGCGAUACAUCGAGGCUUCUUAAUGGGGCCCGGUGGUCUAAGAAAAGCUACCUCGGGGAUAAUGGGCCCGUGGCCGGUGAAAGCCCACAGUAGUGGUUUUCACUCCCACAUAUUUCUGAAUCUGAUAGCAAAAAGAGCCUACAAGCUCUAAACUAAACGAUCAGCGAAUUGGGAUUCGAUAAACCGUCGUAAGACGGGCAUAUUGACCCGGCGCGUUGGUGCGUCGCUGUCGGCUCCCCCCCUCCUGGCUGUGCAGCAGCAGCCAAGGGUACAGGUGUCCACUGGUUAAAGGGGGACGCUAGCUGGGUUCAGAACGUCGUGAGACAGUUCGGUCGCUAUCUACUAGAGGUGUAAGCAAUCUGACCGGAAGGAGGCAUAAGUACGAAAGGAACAUGCCUCCGUGGCCUCUAGUGUAUCGGUUGUCAAUCGGCACUGCCGAGCAGCCAAGCCAUACACGGAUAAGAGCUGAAAGCAUCUAAGCUCGAAACCGUCCGGAAAUAAUAGAUUGCCA